RNAcentral lists this ribosomal RNA (549 nucleotides) under Salmonella enterica subsp. enterica serovar Muenchen. RNAcentral's name for it is "partial 23S ribosomal RNA". It matches the Rfam family "Bacterial large subunit ribosomal RNA", at positions 640 to 1190 of the family's 2925-position model. The record is from RNAcentral. Lineage: Bacteria; Pseudomonadati; Pseudomonadota; Gammaproteobacteria; Enterobacterales; Enterobacteriaceae. RNAcentral also lists the same sequence under 1 other name.
GCAAGGUUAACCGAAUAGGGGAGCCGGAGGGAAACCGAGUCUUAACCGGGCGUUAAGUUGCAGGGUAUAGACCCGAAACCCGGUGAUCUAGCCAUGGGCAGGUUGAAGGUUGGGUAACACUAACUGGAGGACCGAACCGACUAAUGUUGAAAAAUUAGCGGAUGACCUGUGGCUGGGGGUGAAAGGCCAAUCAAACCGGGAGAUAGCUGGUUCUCCCCGAAAGCUAUUUAGGUAGCGCCUCGUGAAUUCAUCUCCGGGGGUAGAGCACUGUUUCGGCUAGGGGGCCAUCCCGGCUUACCAACCCGAUGCAAACUGCGAAUACCGGAGAAUGUUAUCACGGGAGACACACGGCGGGUGCUAACGUCCGUCGUGAAGAGGGAAACAACCCAGACCGCCAGCUAAGGUCCCAAAGUCAUGGUUAAGUGGGAAACGAUGUGGGAAGGCCCAGACAGCCAGGAUGUUGGCUUAGAAGCAGCCAUCAUUUAAAGAAAGCGUAAUAGCUCACUGGUCGAGUCGGCCUGCGCGGAAGAUGUAACGGGGCUAAACCAU